GUGAGGAAUAUUGGUCAAUGGGCGAGAGCCUGAACCAACCAAGUCGCGUGAAGGAUGAAGGUUUUAUGAAUUGUAAACUUCUUUUGCAGGGGAAUAAAGUACGGUACGUGUACCGUUUUGUAUGUACUCUGCGAAUAAGGAUCGGCUAACUCCGUGCCAGCAGCCGCGGUAAUACGGAGGAUCCAAGCGUUAUCCGGAUUUAUUGGGUUUAAAGGGUGCGCAGGCGGGUUGAUAAGUCAGCGGUGAAAGUUUGCAGCUUAACUGUAAAAUUGCCGUUGAAACUGUCGAUCUUGAGUGCAAAUGAGGUAAGCGGAAUGUGUUGUGUAGCGGUGAAAUGCUUAGAUAUAACACAGAACACCGAUUGCGAAGGCAGCUUACUGGGAUGCAACUGACGCUCAUGCACGAAAGCGUGGGGAUCAAACAGGAUUAGAUACCCGAGUAGUCC
This 445-nucleotide ribosomal RNA is filed under the name uncultured bacterium. Its description in RNAcentral is "partial 16S ribosomal RNA". It matches the Rfam family "Bacterial small subunit ribosomal RNA", at positions 354 to 796 of the family's 1533-position model. The record is from RNAcentral.